GACGAACGCUGGCGGCGUGCUUAACACAUGCAAGUCGAACGGAAAGGCCCUGCUUUUGUGGGGUGCUGGAGUGGCGAACGGGUGAGUAACACGUGAGUAACCUGCCCUUGACUUUGGGAUAACUUCAGGAAACUGGGGCUAAUACCGGAUAGGAGCUCCUGCUGCAUGGUGGGGGUUGGAAAGUUUCGGCGGUUGGGGAUGGACUCGCGGCUUAUCAGCUUGUUGGUGGGGUAGUGGCUUACCAAGGCUUUGACGGGUAGCCGGCCUGAGAGGGUGACCGGCCACAUUGGGACUGAGAUACGGCCCAGACUCCUACGGGAGGCAGCAGUGGGGAAUAUUGCAUAAUGGGCGGAAGCCUGAUGCAGCAACGCCGCGUGCGGGAUGACGGCCUUCGGGUUGUAAACCGCUUUCGCCUGUGACGAAGCGUGAGUGACGGUAAUGGGUAAAGAAGCACCGGCUAACUACGUG
RNAcentral lists this ribosomal RNA (468 nucleotides) under uncultured bacterium. RNAcentral's name for it is "partial 16S ribosomal RNA". It matches the Rfam family "Bacterial small subunit ribosomal RNA", at positions 28 to 507 of the family's 1533-position model. The record is from RNAcentral.